GGGGCCCGGCGGGAACAAACAGCCGCCGCCGCGGGAGCGCUGCUCGGGUGGCCGGAGGCAGAUCCUCCUCUAGCCCAUCCCGCAAACCCUCGCUCCCUGGAGCCGCUGCCUUCACUGCGCUCAGCCCUGGAUGGUAAGGGUUCACGCGGGUGCCAGCUGGAGCUGGGAGCAGCAGCGAUAGUCCCCCACCCGUCAUCUCCCCAAGGCAGCGCCCGGGCCACCGAGGCCGAAGCGCGGUUGGAGCCGCACCAGCGGAGCCUGAGACACCGGGACCAACGCCGCCGGAGCGGGGCCCGAAGGAACCCGAGCGGCUUCCGGCCCAAGGCGAGACGCGCUUAAGUGAUCGCAAGGAACAAAGUUGGCGUUCUCAGCCUCGGGCCUCGGAGAGACAUGUCUCAUCUAGUCCCCACUAUUUCAAGAUCCCAGGGACAGAGACUUGUAUGGCAAACAAGAUUUGAAUUCAGAGUUCAAGAAGCACUUCCCGACUUCAGCCAAGUAAGAAGGAUCCUCUUCUUCCUGUCUGUGGAAAUUUCUUGGAUUUGGAAGGAAUUUAUCAUGAAGUUCUGUGGGGCAGGAGGACUGUAACACCAUUUGGAGCAGAAGCAAUUUUUCAGAUGAUGGGGCAGCCUACUAACUCCUCCUGAAGUCAAGGAGCCCUUGGUGUUGCUUGUCUCAGAAAUGAAGAGCUGUCCUGGGGUCUGGAGGAGCCCAGCCAGGUUCCAGUCUGUGUCAAAGGGGAGUGCUCUCUCAGUAGGAAACGGAACGGACAGGGAUGAAAGGAGCAGCCCCAGCCUUACCCACAGAGCCUGAAGUCUGCAACACCCUCUGGGCUGAGUGGCCUGCACCAGCCUCGGGAAAAUGGAACAGGGGCAGCAGGCCUGACUCUGGAGAGAGAGCAUCAGAGAAGAACCCAGGAGGAGGCUGCCCCUCGUCAUGCGUCUUCAUUCUUCAAGCAGUCUCAUUCAGCAAAUCCCAAGCACCUGUGUCUAGACUGUCCUAGGUGCUGGGUCAGUGAUGAGUCAGACUGUCCUCUGGCUUCACUCUGCCCAGGAGAGGGCAGCCAUACAGCCACUGCCCAUACAGGGUGGUCAGUGUGUGAUACGGGCAGAGAAGGGAUGGUAGGGGCACAGAAAAGGGAGCCCACCCAGCCUGGCAAAACCAGAAGGCCUCCUGGAAAGGGUAGAAGUCCAGCUGCAGGGGGGCAGGCCCAGGCUGGAUGAGGGCUCAUUCUCUGUGCACCCACCUCAUCUCAUCACUGCACUUACUGAAUUUCCAUGCAUCUAUCUCCCGCAUUACGGGUACCGUGUCUCACUCAUAUUUGAAUCCCUGGCACUUAGUAUAGUGCCUGGUACAAGCUGAUAGGGGAUAAAUGUGAAUCAAAUGGUCAGAAGGAUGGCUAAGUACUGGGACAAGAAAAUCGCGGAUGCAAAGACGAGAGCAUAUAGUCCAUUCUGGGAAGUGCAAGACUUUCAGUAUUUUUCUACUAAAAAUGAGAUGAGCCCAAUAUCCAUGACAACCUAAUUGGGCAAAGAAUUUGCAAAAGAAUAGAUACAUGUAUAUGUAUAACUGAAUCACUUUGUUGUAUACCUGAAACUAACACAAUAUUGUUAAUCAACUGUGUGCUCCAAUAUAAAAUAAAAAGUUAAAAAAAUUAGAUGAGCUGAAUACCUGUAAAAUUCUUAGGACACUGCCUGACACAUCAAUACUGCUUGUUAGCUAUUUUAACAUUUUUAAAUUAUUAUUUCAAUAAAGCUUUAUUUGCUUAUUUUAGUGAAAACAUUGAGCUUUUGUUGUUUUGAAUACAUUUGUUAAUAGAAUAUAGGUCUUGGUAAGUGGUGC
Long non-coding RNA from Capra hircus (goat), 1839 nucleotides. RefSeq lists it as uncharacterized. The record is from RefSeq and is a predicted model, not a curated record. Lineage: Eukaryota; Metazoa; Chordata; Mammalia; Artiodactyla; Bovidae. The transcript is spliced from 4 exons.